GGUCCGGUGGUGUAGUGGUUAGCGUGGUAGCCUCUCACGCCAGUAAGGCCUGGGUUCAAUCCCAGACGGACCC
Culex pipiens (northern house mosquito) is the source of this 73-nucleotide transfer RNA. It matches the Rfam family "tRNA". Rfam says of the family: Transfer RNA (tRNA) molecules are approximately 80 nucleotides in length. The record is from Rfam. Lineage: Eukaryota; Metazoa; Arthropoda; Insecta; Diptera; Culicidae.